RNAcentral lists this ribosomal RNA (254 nucleotides) under uncultured bacterium. RNAcentral describes it as "partial 16S ribosomal RNA". It matches the Rfam family "Bacterial small subunit ribosomal RNA", at positions 524 to 776 of the family's 1533-position model. The record is from RNAcentral.
CACGUAGGGUGCGAGCGUUGUCCGGAAUUAUUGGGCGUAAAGAGCUCGUAGGCGGUGUGUCGCGUCGGCCGUGAAAACCUGCGGCUUAACUGUGGGCUUGCGGUCGAUACGGGCAUCACUGGAGUUCGGCAGGGGAGACUGGAAUUCCUGGUGUAGCGGUGAAAUGCGCAGAUAUCAGGAGGAACACCGGUGGCGAAGGCGGGUCUCUGGGCCGAUACUGACGCUGAGGAGCGAAAGCGUGGGGAGCGAACAGG